RNAcentral lists this ribosomal RNA (473 nucleotides) under uncultured Bacteroidota bacterium. Its description in RNAcentral is "bacterial SSU rRNA". It matches the Rfam family "Bacterial small subunit ribosomal RNA", at positions 61 to 529 of the family's 1533-position model. The record is from RNAcentral. Lineage: Bacteria; Pseudomonadati; Bacteroidota.
GUCGAGGGGUAACAUUGCAGCUUGCUGCAGAUGACGACCGGCGCACGGGUGCGUAACGCGUAUGAAACCUGCCUUAUACAGGGGGAUAGCCCGAAGAAAUUCGGAUUAAUACCCCAUAAGAUAUAUAAGUGGCAUCACUAAUAUAUUAAAACUCCGGUGGUAUAAGAUGGUCAUGCGUGACAUUAGCUAGUUGGUGAGGUAAAGGCUCACCAAGGCAACGAUGUCUAGGGGUUCUGAGAGGAAGGUCCCCCACACUGGUACUGAGACACGGACCAGACUCCUACGGGAGGCAGCAGUGAGGAAUAUUGGUCAACGGACGGAAGUCUGAACCAGCCAUGUCGCGUGAAGGAAGACUGCCCUAUGGGUUGUAAACUUCUUUUAUAUGGGAAGAACUGUAUCUACGUGUAGAUACUUGCCGGUACCAUAUGAAUAAGCAUCGGCUAACUCCGUGCCAGCAGCCGCGGUAAUACGGA